RNAcentral lists this ribosomal RNA (481 nucleotides) under uncultured bacterium. Its description in RNAcentral is "partial 16S ribosomal RNA". It matches the Rfam family "Bacterial small subunit ribosomal RNA", at positions 30 to 504 of the family's 1533-position model. The record is from RNAcentral.
AUUGAACGCUGGCGGCAGGCCUAACACAUGCAAGUCGAGCGGAUGAAGGGAGCUUGCUCCUGGAUUCAGCGGCGGACGGGUGAGUAAUGCCUAGGAAUCUGCCUGGUAGUGGGGGAUAACGUCCGGAAACGGGCGCUAAUACCGCAUACGUCCUGAGGGAGAAAGUGGGGGAUCUUCGGACCUCACGCUAUCAGAUGAGCCUAGGUCGGAUUAGCUAGUUGGUGGGGUAAAGGCCUACCAAGGCGACGAUCCGUAACUGGUCUGAGAGGAUGAUCAGUCACAUUGGAAAGGAGACCCGGUCCAGACUCCCGGGGGGGGAAGGGGGGGGGAAUAUUGGAAAGGGGGGAAAAGCCUGAUCCAGCCAGGCCGGGGUGUGGAAGAAGGUUUUGGGUUUGAAAAGCCUUUUAGUUUGGGGGGAAGGGCAGUAGUUUAAUACCUUGCUGUUUUGGCUUUCCAAAAAGAAUAAACCCCGGCUAACUUC